RNAcentral lists this long non-coding RNA (395 nucleotides) under Rosa chinensis. RNAcentral describes it as "sRNA RchiOBHm_Chr1g0341941". The record is from RNAcentral. Lineage: Eukaryota; Viridiplantae; Streptophyta; Magnoliopsida; Rosales; Rosaceae.
AUGCUUAUUGACAGCUUGUUGAAUCUGCAGAAAUUGCAGGUACGGUAGCAGCGGAAGAUUGAUUUUGGGAUAGUUUGUCGGAUUGGGUCGGGGCAGAUUUGAUAAGUUUCUGAUCGAAAAAAAAUUGAUGGAAAAGCUAAGGUAAUCAGCUGGAACAACAAGCUCUGAGAUUUCAAAAGCUUGCAGAAGGUAAGGCAACAAAUUCUGGGAUUACAGAGUUUGCAGGUGAGGUAAGGCAAUAAGCUCUGAGAUUACAGAAGCUUUGUAGGUAAGGUAAGGCCCAGCAACUCUGAGAUUACAGAAGCUGCUGCAAGUGCAUAUCAGAAAUACCUUCUAAAUAUUUCCUAGGAUUGUAUAUGCUCUGAUACCGUGACAAAUGGUAAUAUCAGUUAUGU